AAAGGUAAGCUACUAAGAGCGAAUGGUGGAUGCCUUGACUGGUAAAGGCGAUGAAGGACGUACUAGACUGCGAUAAGCUACGGGGAGCUGUCAAGAAGCUUUGAUCCGUAGAUUUCCGAAUGGGGCAACCCAAUGUAUAGAGAUAUACAUUACCUAUAUAGGAGCGAACGAGGGGAAUUGAAACAUCUUAGUACCCUCAGGAAAAGAAAUCAAUAGAGAUUGCGUCAGUAGCGGCGAGCGAAAGCGCAAGAGGGCAAACCCAGUGCUUGCACUGGGGGUUGUAGGACUGCAAUGUGCAAGAGCUGAGUUUAGCAGAACAUUCUGGAAAGUAUAGCCAUAGAGGGUGAUAGUCCCGUAUGCGAAAAACAAAGCUUAGCUAGCAGUAUCCUGAGUAGGGCGGGACACGAGGAAUCCUGUCUGAAUCCGGGUCGACCACGAUCCAACCCUAAAUACUAAUACCAGA
This 463-nucleotide ribosomal RNA is filed under the name Campylobacter jejuni. RNAcentral's name for it is "partial 23S ribosomal RNA". It matches the Rfam family "Bacterial large subunit ribosomal RNA", at positions 1 to 483 of the family's 2925-position model. Lineage: Bacteria; Pseudomonadati; Campylobacterota; Epsilonproteobacteria; Campylobacterales; Campylobacteraceae. The record is from RNAcentral.